UACAGAGGUGGCAAGCGUUGUUCGGAAUUACUGGGCGUAAAGGGCGCGUAGGCGGUUCGUUAAGUCCUGUGUGAAAUCCCCCGGCUCAACUGGGGAACUGCACAGGAAACUAGCGGGCUUGAGUUCGGGAGAGGGAAGCGGAAUUCCGGGUGUAGCGGUGAAAUGCGUAGAUAUUGGGAAGAACACCGGUGGCGAAGGCGGCGAGCUGGUCCAUUACUGACGCUGAGGCGCGACAGCGUGGGGAGCAAACAGG
Molecule: ribosomal RNA, 253 nt
Filed under: uncultured bacterium
Lineage: Bacteria
Description: partial 16S ribosomal RNA
Rfam family: Bacterial small subunit ribosomal RNA
Source: RNAcentral